RNAcentral lists this ribosomal RNA (425 nucleotides) under uncultured bacterium. Its description in RNAcentral is "partial 16S ribosomal RNA". It matches the Rfam family "Bacterial small subunit ribosomal RNA", at positions 354 to 796 of the family's 1533-position model. The record is from RNAcentral.
GUGGGGAAUCUUGCGCAAUGGGCGAAAGCCUGACGCAGCCAUGCCGCGUGAAUGAUGAAGGUCUUAGGAUUGUAAAAUUCUUUCACCGGGGACGAUAAUGACGGUACCCGGAGAAGAAGCUCCGGCUAACUUCGUGCCAGCAGCCGCGGUAAUACGAAGGGGGCUAGCGUUGCUCGGAAUUACUGGGCGUAAAGGGCGCGUAGGCGGACAGCUUAGUCAGAGGUGAAAGCCCAGGGCUCAACCUUGGAAUUGCCUUUGAUACUUGCUGUCUUGAGUUUGGGAGAGGUGAGUGGAACUCCGAGUGUAGAGGUGAAAUUCGUAGAUAUUCGGAAGAACACCAGUGGCGAAGGCGACUCACUGGCCCAAUACUGACGCUGAGGCGCGAAAGCGUGGGGAGCAAACAGGAUUAGAAACCCCUGUAGUCC